AGAGUUUGAUCCUGGCUCAGAACGAACGCUGGCGGCAGGCCUAACACAUGCAAGUCGAGCGCACCCUUCGGGGCGAGCGGCGGACGGGUUAGUAACGCGUGGGAAUAUACCCUUCACUACGGAAUAGCCUCGGGAAACUGAGAGUAAUACCGUAUACGCCCUUCGGGGGAAAGAUUUAUCGGUGAUGGAUUAGCCCGCGUCUGAUUAGAUAGUUGGUGGGGUAAUGGCCUACCAAGUCUACGAUCAGUAGCUGGUUUUAGAGGAUGAUCAGCAACACUGGGACUGAGGCACGGCCCAGACUCCUACGGGAGGCAGCAGUGGGGAAUCUUAGACAAUGGGCGAAAGCCUGAUCUAGCCAUGCCGCGUGUGUGAUGAAGGCCUUAGGGUCGUAAAGCACUUUCGCCAGGGAUGAUAAUGACAGUACCUGGUAAAGAAACCCCGGCUAACUCCGUGCCAGCAGCCGCGGUAAUACGGAGGGGGUUAGCGUUGUUCGGAAUUACUGGGCGUAAAGCGCACGUAGGCGGAUCAGAAAGUUGGGGGUGAAAUCCCAGGGCUCAACCCUGGAACUGCCCUCAAAACUCCUGGUCUUGAGUUCGAGAGAGGUGAGUGGAAUUCCAAGUGUAGAGGUGAAAUUCGUAGAUAUUUGGAGGAACACCAGUGGCGAAGGCGGCUCACUGGCUCGAUACUGACGCUGAGGUGCGAAAGUGUGGGGAGCAAACAGGAUUAGAUACCCUGGUAGUCCACACCGUAAACGAUGAAUGCCAGACGUCGGGCAGUAUACUGUUCGGUGUCACACCUAACGGAUUAAGCAUUCCGCCUGGGGAGUACGGUCGCAAGAUUAAAACUCAAAGGAAUUGACGGGGGCCCGCACAAGCGGUGGAGCAUGUGGUUUAAUUCGGAGCAACGCGCAGAACCUUACCAACCCUUGACAUCCUAGGACAACUCCAGAGAUGGAGCCUUCCUUCGGGACCUAGUGACAGGUGCUGCAUGGCUGUCGUCAGCUCGUGUCGUGAGAUGUUCGGUUAAGUCCGGCAACGAGCGCAACCCACAUCUUUAGUUGCCAGCAGGUUAAGCUGGGCACUCUAAAGAAACUGCCCGUGAUAAGCGGGAGGAAGGUGUGGAUGACGUCAAGUCCUCAUGGCCCUUACGGGUUGGGCUACACACGUGCUACAAUGGUGGUGACAAUGGGUUAAUCCCAAAAAACCAUCUCAGUUCGGAUUGGGGUCUGCAACUCGACCCCAUGAAGUCGGAAUCGCUAGUAAUCGCGUAACAGCAUGACGCGGUGAAUACGUUCCCGGGCCUUGUACACACCGCCCGUCACACCAUGGGAGUUGGGUUUACCCGAAGGCCGUGCGCCAACCU
This 1362-nucleotide ribosomal RNA is filed under the name metagenome. RNAcentral's name for it is "bacterial SSU rRNA". It matches the Rfam family "Bacterial small subunit ribosomal RNA". The record is from RNAcentral.